Molecule: ribosomal RNA, 435 nt
Filed under: uncultured bacterium
Lineage: Bacteria
Description: bacterial SSU rRNA
Rfam family: Bacterial small subunit ribosomal RNA
Source: RNAcentral
CAGGCCUAACACAUGCAAGUCGAACGCCCCCGCAAGGGGGAGUGGCAGACGGGUGAGUAACACGUGGGAACAUACCCUUCGGUUCGGAACAACGCCGGGAAACUGGAGCUAAUACCGGAUACGCCCUUUUGGGGAAAGGUUUACUGCCGAAGGAUCGGCCCGCGUCUGAUUAGCUAGUUGGUGGGGUAACGGCCUACCAAGGCGACGAUCAGUAGCUGGUCUGAGAGGAUGAUCAGCCACAUUGGGACUGAGACACGGCCCAAACUCCUACGGGAGGCAGCAGUGGGGAAUAUUGGACAAUGGGCGCAAGCCUGAUCCAGCCAUGCCGCGUGAGUGAUGAAGGCCUUAGGGUUGUAAAGCUCUUUUGUCCGGGACGAUAAUGACGUGAUCGGAAGAAUAAGCCCCGGCUAACUUAGUGCCAGCAGCCGCGGUAAU